CUGGGCUUCAUGUUUUAGGUAUAAACCCACAUAUGUUUCUCCCGUCUGCUUUCAUACGACGCCAUCGCCGUGUCGAUCCAAGUACAGGCCACCGCCUCUUACCAGAAGAGGUGUAACGGUCUACACUUUCAUUCAAUCUCCAUCGUUUACGUUCUUAUUCACUCCAUAAACUUGCAUUCAAUAGCACCUUCACUCUUCCCAGAUGGUUACAAAACUUAUCCUAUAAAAAGGAGGUAAGCUUUGCCAAAAUUCACCAAACAUCACCUCUCACCCUCAAUCAUCAUAAUACUUUGCUUCAGUAUUGUGAUCUCUUCAUAGAAAUUCUGAUAUAGCUAUAGAGUUUCGAGAUCUUGAUUCGUUUUGUGAAUCUUCCAUCCCGUUUUAUCUUCUUUUCUAUUCAACAAAAGCUUAUCGGGAGAACUAUUCAAGACAAAUCGCGAUGAAUCUGAUGAUGAUCCCUCGAUCGAGAAGUCUUGGUUUCGUUUCAACGUGUCUUGGGCCGUGUCUCGGUUUGUCCAGAUUCAACGCUUAUACGAAUUUCCUACCUCCAACAAGAACGACGCUCUCAUUCAGUGAAUAUCCCGUCAGAGGCCGUGAUUCUCAACUUAUAAAUAGGGGGCCACUGUUCUUCCAUCGUCGAAGUGAGGCUUCUAAGAUUUUGGGAAGCUGGAAAGCUCAAACGCGGUGGGGGAGUUGAUAGGCUGGAUAUACUUCUCCUUGAUGCCAAGGUUUUGCGAUCUUUGACGAUUUCAGUUUCAGUACAUCCUCCUUUCCUUUAAGUCCGUGCAUCUGCAGCUAUAUAUAGGCUAAAUUUCAGAAACAUGGGGCAGAGCAGAGGGAAGAGCAACUGGAAAGUCUCAAUCAUCAUAGGUUUGAAUUUGAAAGGUUCAGCCUUAUGUAAGAGCGGAUAGUCAAUAGGGAGAAGUUAGAACGAGAGUUGGCUAUUUCCUCUCAUGAGAUACUUGCUGCCGGAAGGGUUCACGGUGCACGUUUAUAACUGGUCAGUGAUCCAUUUCUCCUCUCCGAGUUUUGUCGGACCCAGCGACAACGUCAAUAAAAGGUUAUCGAGAUGGUAAUAUAUCCGGCAGUGAAGCAAUUCAGAGAUCAGAUGAUAUCACCAUCAAGUUGAUGGCAUCAACAGCACAUCCUCUGUUAAGCGUCAGCCAAAGGUCCCAUUGUUGUGAGGAAAGCUUAGUUGUUCUCUUCUCGAAUCAUCUCUUGAAGAACACACAACUUCCUCUGUGUGUUUUCCUCUUCCAAAGGUUUUAUUAGUCAUAAAAAGGAGGGCAACGAUAGAAAGCGGAUGUGGAAAAAUAAAAGAAAGGUCUUUUUAUACCAAGGUGAAAUCAAUUCCCUUAAUUCACAACCUCAAGGAUCAGAGAUUCAGACAGUUGCAGUGUAAAAACGCCUUCAUACCGUAAAACAUUGCAGUAUCACAUUCACUGUUUAUCAUUUUUUUAUUGUUCCUCUUUAAGUGUUUUUCUAGACGGAAGAUAUCAACACUGAAGUGCUAUAAAAUUAUAGUAAACUUUAAGGAUGCUUCUAAAUUUUCAUGUUAUUUACUUUUUAUUCUCGAGA
Raphanus sativus (radish) is the source of this 1578-nucleotide long non-coding RNA. RefSeq lists it as uncharacterized. NCBI's taxonomy places the organism in Eukaryota, Viridiplantae, Streptophyta, Magnoliopsida, Brassicales, Brassicaceae. The transcript is spliced from 6 exons. The record is from RefSeq and is a predicted model, not a curated record.